This is a non-coding RNA of Lolium perenne, 3571 nucleotides long. NCBI's taxonomy places the organism in Eukaryota, Viridiplantae, Streptophyta, Magnoliopsida, Poales, Poaceae. The record is from RefSeq and is a predicted model, not a curated record.
CGAGCUCGUUCGCGUGACCUCGUUUCGCUUUCCUUUUCGACCGGGUGAAAACCCUAACAUUCUACCCCAAUCCCUGCCCUUUCCCAUCCCCCAAUCGGCUGCCUCCUUCCUCCUUCUCGCGCGGCGGCGCGUCUGGAGGAACCGGCCUGAGAAGGAGCGGCCAGCCCGAGCGAUGGAUGUGCCCGUAGGGGGUCACCACGGCUUGGGCCGCCGAUUCGGGUGGUGGCGUUGGUGGCGGCGGGUGGAGGUGAGGCGGGAGCGGGCGGAGACGGGAUCGCGCGGGGCCGAUCAACGGCGGCGGCGACCGGAGGCGCGGGCGCGGCCGGAGACGGGCCGGCGCGGGUGGAUCCGCUCCGGCGACGACGGGAGGCGAUGGGCCCGUACGAGCGGAUCCGUGGCGGUGGUGACCGGAGGCGCCGGGCGCGGUCGAAGACGGGUCGGCACGGGGCGGAUCCGCUCCGGCGACGACCGGAGGCGAUGGGGGCGGCCGGAGACGGGCCAGCCGGAGGUGGAGGAGCAGCGAGGGGCGGCGCUAGGACGGUGGUGGAGGAGCAGCGACGAGCGCACCGGCCAUGGCGCCGCUCGUCGGAGCACAUCAGCAUCUCGUCGCUCGUCAAUAUUACUUACCCAUGUUAAGCUUGACACGGCCUGCCGAAGUUGCAAGUGGUGACUGGUGAGCAAGAGCAAAGUUGCUACCUUGCUUGAAGAGCUCUGUCCUGUCACCGGGAGGCCUCAUCCAAAUUGAUACCCAUCAACUUCUUUGGACUCGCCAAGGCGGCACCCCUCUCGGAAAAUCUGAGGGUUAUUAGGUCAUUUGAGACCUGAAUUAUAAGCACAGUCAUGUAUUUGUGACAAUUAUUAGAAGGAAAUGGGUCGAGAACUUGGAUGUGAGGGUGCCCUGGUGUGGGAGGCGCUGCGGCCUCGGCAGACCAGACGGAGUCCAAUGUGGAAGGGAGCAAGAAGGAAGGGACAAUUUUUUUCGGGUCGAUUGUUGCUGUUCUGGGUUGGUUACCACAUCAACUAGGUUGUGUUCUCCUUUAAGCUCUCGACCUCUUGAUGGCGCUGCUGCUACUGGUGACAUGGUUUUAAAUAGGGCAUCUUGGGUAAUGAUUUGAUUACCAAAGAUUUUGAUUUGCUAUGAAGGACACAAUUAUUUGAGCACGGAAGGCAACAAAGGUGUGAUCUCAUGAAGAGGGCAUUCUUUUAUGUGAUGUCAGAUCUAAAUUGAAUAUGAUUGAUGAAUGUUCAUUUGACUUUUGCGCAUAAUGGGUGUACAAUUAUUUAUGUUAGGUGCAUUCUCAAGCGUGUAUUUGAGCAGUGACGAUGAUCUUGCCGAUUCAACAGUACAUACCAUUAUGUUCUCGCCGGAGCUUACUCUUUCCUUUGAUGACACAAUCAAGCAUGUUUUGAUAGCAGGCGGCACCCCUCUCGGAAAAUCUGAGGGUUAUUAGGUCAUUUGAGACCUGAAUUAUAAGCACAGUCAUGUAUUUGUGACAAUUAUUAGAAGGAAAUGGUCAAGAUACUAGAUUAUUUUCUUUUAGCUAGCAUGGUUUGUUGAAGAUCUGUAUCAUUUACUGAUUCCAAAUUUUAAGAAAUGUUAGUACUGAGGCGAAGUUUUGCACCUGCAGAACUUGGAUGUGAGGGUACCCUGGUGUGGGAGGCGCCGCGGCCUCGGCAGACCAGACGGAGUCCAAUGUGGAAGGGAGCAAGAAGGAAUGGACAAUUUUUUUUCCGGGUUGAUUGUUGCUGUUCUGGGUUGGUUACCACAUCAACUAGGCUUAUUUGUGUUGCCUCAAACAUGAGACUGCUGAGAGUGUUCCUAGGCUGAAUAUGGCUGCUAUUUGGGUGCCAGGUGACAUGGUUUUAAAUAGGGCAUCUUGGGUAAUGAUUUGAUUACCAAAGAUUUUGAUUUGCUGUGAAGGACACAAUUAUUUGAGCACGGAAGGCAACAAAGGUGCAUGAUCUCAUGAAGAGGGCAUUCUUUUAUGUGAGGCUUGGUAUCUUGUCAUCCCUGCUGUCUGCGCUACUCAAGUGAAUGUCGGCGUGGACGCUGGCGCAUUCCCGGGGGUGCAUUUGAGCAGCGACAGUCAUCUUGGCGAUUCAGUACGCUGGUGAUCUAAUACUAGGCGUUGCCUGCUUGUCCGGGGCGCCCCUAGCGGGGGGCGCGAAUCAACAACGGAGGAGGCCAUGGAAGAGAGGAAGGAGGUGUGGAGAUGUUGUGGCAAGCAGAUGCAGUCAGCCAUUGAGCGCCGGCGGUAGGCUUGAAAAAAUAAUCUGCAUAUUAGCGACGACGAGGACAGCUUAUGCCAAGAUGCCAAUGUGAGGAUUUCCCAAUCCCCAUAUCUAUACAGUGGUAUAUUCAUCAAUAGUUUUUUUGGGUGAUGUGCUCUACGGAGAAGUCUGCCAGUGAGCAGAUUGUAUUUGUUGCUGAUGGCGCACAAGAAGUGACUCCUAAUGAUGACCAGGAGGGCCAAUCUGAUUUCAGGUCGAUAUUCGGUAACUGUCCUCCAUGAAAGUUUUUUUUAAAAAAGAAAGAAGCAGUUGAUCUUUGCGGGUGGUGUGAAAAAGCAUGUAUCUGGCUUGUGCCUGUGAACUGAGGUGUUUGGAAAAGCAUGGUCAAAUAGUCAGUAUCUUGAGGUCAUAAUUAUCCCCUGUCCACGCAUCCACUUCAGUCUCUCAGUCUGUCCGAUAGUGAGAUGUCUGUCAUUUUUUCUAAUGAUCUAUGUUAUGUCUUAAUUAAAGAAACCAUACUGAGCUAAAAUUUUCACUUGCUGUCGUAUAUUCAUCAAUAGUUUUUUUGGGUGCUAAUAUCAAGUAUCAAUGCCUAAAGUAACUUUUUUACUCUGCCAGUUUGUCUCAUAUGUACAAGAUUGUUCAAAAUCCAUGGUGAUUUUACCUCCAGUUGUAUUCCUGAGCAUGACUAUUUUUCUAUCUCCGUGCAUUAUUAUCCGCUAGAUUAAACAACUUGUGUAUGUCGAGCUGAGAACUUUCUUUCGCUAAGAGGAAUUAUGUUAUGCCUGGGUGAGCUGGCAGUAAUUCGUGCAGAUUUUACCACCACCGUGUAGCUUAGGGGCGUCACCAUGCCUUCACCUGCGGGAACUUGGCUGAAAGUGAUGGAGAGGAUAAUAGGUAUAUUUGACGGCGUUGCCAUCUGUCCUUAAGGCCAUGGGAAAAUUGAGCAGCAGGUGCCGCUGAGGUCGUAUACCUCACAAUGGCCAUGGAGGUUAUGCACGCACUGUUGAUGAUGAGGCUGAUGUGAUAGGGUUGAUGAUGAGGCUGUCGAGAAUAAGCCACACGCAGCCAAGAGGGCCUUUCCUAGAGGUAUUGUGACUGCCCGUGUACUUUUCAUAGUUGAUUGGUGUAGCAAAUCUGAAAAUUUGAGAUUGGUUCUGAAAUUUGGGAGACGAUGGCUUAGAUUUUCUGUCGGUCACCCAAUUGGGCAGAAGAGAAUUUAUUAGUGAUUGGUGAUGAAUUGCUGGAUUUUCUUGGGGUUACUCCUAUUUCUGUAUGGGUUUAUAGCAGACUAGAUGUGCUAUUCUGCAAUGAUUUUGGAUAAGGGGCCAUUAUUUCA